Molecule: ribosomal RNA, 450 nt
Filed under: Roseovarius sp. 217
Lineage: Bacteria; Pseudomonadati; Pseudomonadota; Alphaproteobacteria; Rhodobacterales; Roseobacteraceae
Description: bacterial LSU rRNA
Rfam family: Bacterial large subunit ribosomal RNA
Source: RNAcentral
AGGUACGCCGGGGAUAACAGGCUGAUACUGCCCAAGAGUCCAUAUCGACGGCAGUGUUUGGCACCUCGAUGUCGGCUCAUCUCAUCCUGGGGCUGGAGCAGGUCCCAAGGGUACGGCUGUUCGCCGUUUAAAGAGGUACGUGAGCUGGGUUUAGAACGUCGUGAGACAGUUCGGUCCCUAUCUGCCGUGGGUGUAGGAUACUUGAGAGGAGUUGCCCCUAGUACGAGAGGACCGGGGUGAACGAACCACUGGUGGACCUGUUGUGGCGCCAGCCGCAGUGCAGGGUAGCUAUGUUCGGACAGGAUAACCGCUGAAGGCAUCUAAGCGGGAAGCCCCCCUCAAAACAAGGUAUCCCUGAGAGCCGUGGUAGACCACCACGUCGAUAGGCCAGAGAUGUAAGCGCAGCAAUGCGUUCAGUUGACUGGUACUAAUGGCUCGAUAGGCUUGAUU